RNAcentral lists this transfer RNA (64 nucleotides) under Elaphrus cupreus. Its description in RNAcentral is "tRNA-Ala". The record is from RNAcentral. Lineage: Eukaryota; Metazoa; Arthropoda; Insecta; Coleoptera; Carabidae.
AGGAUAAUAGUUAAUAAUAAUAUUUAAUUUGCAUUUAAAAGGUGUUGAACUUCAACUUAUCUUA